UACGGGGGGAGCAAGCGUUGUUCGGAUUUACUGGGCGUAAAGGGCGCGUAGGCGGUCGUGAGCAAGUCACUUGUGAAAUCUCUGAGCUUAACUCAGAACGGCCAAGUGAUACUGCUGUGCUAGAGUGCAGAAGGGGCAAUCGGAAUUCUUGGUGUAGCGGUGAAAUGCGUAGAUAUCAAGAGGAACACCUGAGGUGAAGACGGGUUGCUGGGCUGACACUGACGCUGAGGCGCGAAAGCCAGGGGAGCAAACGGG
Molecule: ribosomal RNA, 255 nt
Filed under: uncultured bacterium
Lineage: Bacteria
Description: partial 16S ribosomal RNA
Rfam family: Bacterial small subunit ribosomal RNA
Source: RNAcentral